UACGUAGGGUGCAAGCGUUGUCCGGAAUUAUUGGGCGUAAAGAGCUCGUAGGCGGUUUGUCGCGUCGGCUGUGAAAACUCGGGGCUCAACCCCAAGCUUGCGGUCGAUACGGGCAGGCUAGAGUUCGGUAGGGGAGACUGGAAUUCCUGGUGUAGCGGUGAAAUGCGCAGAUAUCAGGAGGAACACCGGUGGCGAAGGCGGGUCUCUGGGCCGAUACUGACGCUGAGGAGCGAAAGCGUGGGGAGCGAACAGG
RNAcentral lists this ribosomal RNA (253 nucleotides) under uncultured bacterium. Its description in RNAcentral is "partial 16S ribosomal RNA". It matches the Rfam family "Bacterial small subunit ribosomal RNA", at positions 524 to 776 of the family's 1533-position model. The record is from RNAcentral.